Molecule: long non-coding RNA, 925 nt
Filed under: Coffea arabica (coffee)
Lineage: Eukaryota; Viridiplantae; Streptophyta; Magnoliopsida; Gentianales; Rubiaceae
Description: long non-coding RNA (CARA_LNC004908)
Source: RNAcentral
CAAAGUGGCCUACAACCAAUUCAGCAACGAGAUUCCUAUCAUUUCUUUAAAGGGUCUUGAUGACACUGACGGUGCAAGACCUGAAAUUUGUAAAAAGAUUGUGGAAGCCUGCGAAGACUGGGGGAUUUUCCAGGUUAUUGAUCAUGGGGUUGAUGACAAACUCAUUUCUGACAUGACCCGCCUCGCUAGAGAAUUCUUCGCUUUGCCACCUGAAGAGAAGCUCCGAUUCGAUAUGUCAGGCGGCAAGAAAGGGGGAUUUAUCGUCUCAAGCCAUCUACAGGUAUAUAUCAUGCAUUUUUGGAUCAUACUCUUCUUCCAUUUUUAUCUCUUCUGGUUUGUUAAUGACUACUCUGGACAAAUUUUCAUGAAUUCAAGUCUCGAAAUUCUAUAAUAUCAGUAAUUGGCUCGUGUCAAUUAAGCACGCAACCACAAAUUGUAAUGGUGAGGAGAGAUGGACGAUUCUUGAUUUCAAGUCUGAAUCCAAUUGAACUAAAUUGGCCAAAUGGAUGCAUGAUCUUGAAACAAUUAUGCAGGGUGAAACUGUGCAAGACUGGCGUGAGAUUGUGACAUAUUUUUCCUAUCCAAUUCGGGCAAGGGAUUCCUCAAGGUGGCCAGACAAGCCAGAGGCAUGGAGGGCUGUGACAGAGAAAUAUAGCGAGAAGUUGAUGGAGCUGGCCUGUAAACUGUUGGAGGUAUUAUCAGAGGCAAUGGGAUUGGAAAAGGAAGCCUUAACUAAUGCAUGUGUGGACAUGGACCAAAAAGUUGUGGUGAACUUUUACCCAAAGUGUCCACAGCCUGACCUCACAUUGGGCCUCAAACGCCACACCGACCCUGGAACCAUCACUCUCUUGUUACAAGACCAAGUUGGUGGACUUCAGGCCACCAGGGACGGUGGCAAGACCUGGAUUACCGUCCAGCCUGUUGA